Molecule: ribosomal RNA, 333 nt
Organism: Nicotiana attenuata
Lineage: Eukaryota; Viridiplantae; Streptophyta; Magnoliopsida; Solanales; Solanaceae
Rfam family: Bacterial small subunit ribosomal RNA
Source: Rfam
UUAAUUAAUAUUUUAUUUUUAAUUAAGAUAUAAAAUAUAAAAUAAAAAUAUAUAUUAAAUUUUUUAAUCAAUACAGAAUAUAGUCGAAAGCUAGGGAAGCGAAUGGGAUUAGAUACCCCCGUAGUCCUAGUUGUAAACAAUGGAUACUAGGCGUUGUGCGUAUCGACCCGUGCAGUGUCGUAGCUAACGCGUUAAGUAUCCCGCCUGGGGAGUACGGUCGCAAGAAUGAAACUCAAAGGAAUUGACGGCGCAAUAAUUCAACAAGGGUGAUCCUAUUACAGGAAUAGCGUCAGGGACACUUGUUACUAUUUUCACUGCCCAAUAACCAACUCC